RNAcentral lists this unclassified non-coding RNA (346 nucleotides) under soil metagenome. RNAcentral's name for it is "partial contains 5.8S ribosomal RNA, internal transcribed spacer 2, and large subunit ribosomal RNA". The stretch from base 1 to 119 matches the Rfam family "5.8S ribosomal RNA", at positions 35 to 154 of the family's 154-position model. The record is from RNAcentral.
GAUGAAGAACGCAGCGAAAUGCGAUAAGUAAUGUGAAUUGCAAAUUCAGUGAAUCAUCGAGUCUUUGAACGCACAUUGCGCCCCCUGGUAUUCCGGGGGGCAUGCCUGUCCGAGCGUCAUUGCUGCCCUCAAGCACGGCUUGUGUGUUGGGCCCCGUCCUCCGAUCCCGGGGGACGGGCCCGAAAGGCAGCGGCGGCACCGCGUCCGGUCCUCGAGCGUAUGGGGCUUUGUCACCCGCUCUGUAGGCCCGGCCGGCGCCUGCCGAUCAACCCAAAUUUUUUAUCCAGGUUGACCUCGGAUCAGGUAGGGAUACCCGCUGAACUUAAGCAUAUCAAUAAGCGGAGGA